This is a long non-coding RNA of Triticum dicoccoides, 2117 nucleotides long. RefSeq lists it as uncharacterized. Lineage: Eukaryota; Viridiplantae; Streptophyta; Magnoliopsida; Poales; Poaceae. The transcript is spliced from 6 exons. The record is from RefSeq and is a predicted model, not a curated record.
CUUCCUCCUCCGACCCGCCUCGUCUCCCUUGCACCGACCCUCCCCACCUCCCACCUCACAGCUCCGGAGGUUGCCAGAUCCGCCAAAUCCUCACCCAUACGUCCCUCUUGCGUCCCAUCCCGGUCUCUUCACGCGGCUCCUCGCCGCGCUACACGCGGCGGCUGCAUCAGGUGAUGUCCGGUGAAUCCCGCCAGCGUGAAGCACUGCCCGAGGUCCCUUCGCUCCGUGGAGCCCUCCUAGCCAACUAGAUCCAUCGCUCGUGGCCACCACAGCCCACCCGUGACCCAUCCCCAUGGCUAGGGAUUCGGGUGUCGAAUCUGGUGCCCGUGGCCAUGUCAUCGUCAUCCUCGUCUCAUCCGACGUGCGGGAAGGAAAGUCCAGUGGACAACCUUGCUGCAGCUCGGGAUGAAGCAGCCACGAGCUUCCUCCUCCUCCGGCUUCAGGUGAGUUGCUCUACUCCUCCCUCUGCUCUGGUUCGUGCCAAAUCAGGAGAAUUGUUGUUCUGGUGGUGUUAGGAUUUUCUACUGCUUGGGAUCAAGUGCCUGCUGGUUGAGGUCAAUUUGAUUUUGUUUUGAUCCUAAAGUGUCAAAUCAGAGGAGGACCACAUGUUGGACUGAGUCCCGAUGUGUUGAGGCUGGGAAGGUCGGCAUGGCCUCCAACCAAGGCAAUACUCCUUACUAUGUUGCUGCCUUGCAAGCAGUAGUGGCUAGAAAUCAAUCCCUAGCUGCAUAUUCUUUCUAGGUAACAUCAUUGUAGGGAGGGAUUCUGAAGCCCAUCUAUGAAGUAACCAGUGUGUUUGAGGCAAUUAGUACAAAAAACACCAGGCGGAGGUGUAGCAACGGCAGUUUGAAGCAGAUUAGGCGCCCGCGGGCGUCAAUGACGGCAAGGUUGUUGAGUGAAGGAAAUGGCGGUGUGGCGAUUUGUGUCCUAUUCUCCAUCUUUUAAGCUCAUAACAGAAGAAAGAAUGAUACAAUCGACUUUAUCACUAUUGUUUUUUAAGAAUAAAAACCUUUUUUGUACGCAUGUAUUGAUGAGUACUCCUCUUGACUCGAUUGUGUUGUAGGGAAUGAAACCAUCUAGUUGGGGUGGUCUGCAGCUCUGGUCGCCUCCAGCAGCACCACAUAAUAAAAGUUCCAAAGAGUAGUGUUGCAUUGCUGCCUCCAGCCAACCACAACAUAAUCAUUGGAUGUAUUUCUUAUGUAGAAGAUUUGAGUGAUCUGCACGCACCAACUUGUGGGGGACACCAUGGAAGGUGUACAAAAUUAGCAAUGGAUCUCUAGGCUGGUGAUGACCAAGUAAAUUCGUUUCAGUGGAUUUGGCGUUGUACGUUCAUUCCAAAGCGUGGUGAGCACCUGUAGGUUUGUCUAUUUCCUGUUGGAUGACUGAACCAACUAGAGCUAAAUGUUUUGGUUUAGUUUCAGAUGAAAAACUAUUUUGGUUCAGUUUGCUAAGUAAAUGGAGAAGAGAACAGAAGUAGCACUGUCACUCAAAUUUCCUUUGAAUGCACAACAGCGCUUAGGCUAUUGUCCAUAUAAUGUUAUUGAGCCAUGUUAUUCUGCAGGUUAUAUCGUAUAUUGUGGUGUCUGGAUUAGUCAUCAAUGAUCACUAACACUCAUGCCGGUAUAUUUUCAGAAUCAUAACAGGGACGUACUUCUUGCUACAGUUCCAAGUUAUGAUCCUGAAUAUAAACUUGACAGUGCUAAAAUUAAAAUGCAUUUUGGGGAGUGUAAUACAACACUUGCCAAAAACUGAAGAUUUGGCAGAGUCGCAAAAACUGCAGUACUAUUGAUUGAAAAGAUAUAUGGAUGAUUAUAUGGGUGUGUAACAAGUAUACUACAAUGGUGAUGAUGAUGAUGAUCACGAUGAUGCUGAUGAUAUUCUGGUUCAUGAUGAUGGAUGCUUUCAAUUUUAGUUAAGUUGUGGGAUGUUCCUGUUGGACGAUGUUCCUCAGUUAGUUUUAAUUAACUUGUAGGGAUGUUGAUGGAUGAUUUUAGUUUAGAUUUUGCUGUCGAGAAAAUAUUAGAUUAUGCAUCACAUUUGGAUGAUGUUCCUCCUGUAAUAUCCAUUGUUGUAAUCCAACAGUUUUAUCCAAUAUAUGAUUUCUUCUUUUGUGAGUA